UGAUGCUAAUUUAAAUCCGAAAUGAUGAAUUUAUCUGGUAAAACCCAUAUAAGCCUUUUAUCAAACACCUUAAUUGCAUAAACAUAAACUUGCCACAUUUGAUGACACACAUCGAUGGAUAACCAAAUCUUCAAGUGUCAAACUUUUUAAAACACACUGAAAAUUAUGUACAAUAUUCUUGAAUAUAUUGAACAUGUAUUAUCAUGUAUAAACCACCAUUUAGGGACACGUGUCCCAAACCCCAUUUCAUUUAUACAUAUAGAUAAUAGAUUAAAAAAUUCAAAUUGUUAUUACGUUUAAAUAAAACUAAACUUAACCUGACCCGGCCAUUUUUACACCUAUAUAAGAUUGGAGAUCAAAGGUACCUAGUGUACUCUAAGUAAAUAAGUAGCAACAUGCUCUCUUCUAGUAAUGGCGUCACCCAAUUUGCAUGGAUGACACAUACAAUUGGCACAACUUGA
RNAcentral lists this long non-coding RNA (461 nucleotides) under Helianthus annuus (common sunflower). RNAcentral describes it as "hypothetical non coding rna". The record is from RNAcentral. Lineage: Eukaryota; Viridiplantae; Streptophyta; Magnoliopsida; Asterales; Asteraceae.